Molecule: long non-coding RNA, 1849 nt
Organism: Mus musculus (house mouse)
Lineage: Eukaryota; Metazoa; Chordata; Mammalia; Rodentia; Muridae
Product: predicted gene, 40644
Exons: 3
Source: RefSeq, a predicted model, not a curated record
UCACAAUGUAUCUGGAGCUAUUGUGAUCUAGUCUCUGGAAGCACUUGGUGGUCCUGCCAGCAGAUGGUGUUCUCUCUGCCAUUCCAGCUUUGCCCCAAGCUCAGCCAAGGAGUUCCGUGAGGUCAUUCUAAUGGUUGCUUCCAACUGUCAGUUUCAGACCAGACCUCCCAAAGAACCAUCACUUGAGAUUCCUGUCAGGAAGCACCUCUUGAACACAGGAAGUGUGUCUGGUUUGGUUUCUGCAGACAGGAUGGAUCCCCAGGAACCACCAGUUUGAUUUCCAAAGUUGUUUUACCAGCUUGCUGUCCCACCAGCAAUGGAGGAGUGUUUCUCUUUCUCCACAGCCUGUCCAACAUCUGCUGUUAUCUUCAUUUGUGAUCUGGGAGAGUGGUGCUAUUUGGACAUGUGGCCUUGUUGGAAUAGGUGUAUCACUGUGGGUGCAGGCUUUAAUAACCUAACUCUAGCUCCCUGGAUGCUCUGAUUCUGCUAGCAGCCUUCAGAUUAAGAUGCAGAACUCUCAUCUCCUCCUAUACCAUGCUUGCCUGGAUGGUGACAUGUUGCAGCCUUGAUGAUACUUGACUGAAUCUCUGGAGCUGUAAGUAGCCCCAAUUACACAUUGUCAUUUAUAAGAUUUGCCUUGGUUAUGGUGUCUGUUCACAGCAGUAAAAGCCUGAGACAUUGAGUGUGGUUGUUUCAAUAUGCUAGUCUCAGAGAGUAUCACUAUUAAGAGGUGAUGCCAUGCUGAAGUAGAUUUGGCCUUGCUGGAAGAAAUGUGUUACUGUGGGGGUGGGAAUUGAGACCCUUCACCUGGCUACCAAUGACAAAAGCUUCUCCUAUUUGAAUUCAGAAGAGGAUAUAAAUUCUUACCUCUUCAAAUGCUAUGACUAUCUAGACUUAUGAACCAAUAAGCCAGCCCCAAUUCAAAGUUUUUUUUUUUUUUUUUUAUUAAAGUUGCUUUGGUCAUGCUGUCUCUGUAGAAAAAUAGAAACCCUAAGUCAGACUUUGCCAACAGGAGUAAGAUAUUUACAUAGUAGGCCUGGCCAUGUGUUUGUUUAGAGGAAUGUGGAUUUGAGGACAUUGAUUUGGAAAGUGGUGCAAUGCAUUAAGGGGUGCCUUUGGCCCAUCCCACAAGAAAUAUGGAAGAAAGUGGUACUGAGGGUGACUUAAACUGAUGCAAAAGGUUUUAUAGGAGGAAGAUAUCAGUAUGUGGCCUAGAAACUGUUUGAGUGGUAUUUUGGUGAAGAAUCUGGCUGCUUUUGCCAUUAUCUGAAGAGACUGAGGAGGCACAGUCUAGCAUGAAGAGAGUCAGAAAAUUGCAUGACAACUGAAGUCUAACAAGAGCCCAGCAUAGACUUCGUCCUCUGGUUCACUCUCAUGAAAGUGUUUUGAUGAAGUUUACCAAGCUGAUAAAGGAAAAAUACAAAAUAUGAGGGGCAAGACUUAAAGGAGCACUAAGAAGUGAAAUAGAGCUGGAUCCUGUGUGCAAUGAGAUAACAAGCUUAAGGGAGUGAUGAUCUCAGGGCAAGAUUCCAACUAGCUAACCUCAUUGUUAUUGCAUGUAAAGUAGCAAUAGUUAUUUGAUAUUCAGCAGUAUUACCUGGUUAUAGUUUUUAUUUGUACUUUUAUUUGUACUUUUAAUGUGGAAUGAACUACUAUCCAGAAAUGGAGGGUCCUAUUGUGAUUCAGAACUUGAGGCUGAAUGCACAGGCUUUUGAUUUAUAUCUUGAAGAACCAUGGCCAUGAGAAGCUUAAGGAGAUCUCCAAAUCAAGACCAGUCUAGAACAGAGAGAGUUGCAGGUAGAGAAAAGCUUAGAGCCAGGCAUGGUAGACCAUGUCAUUAAUCCCAGCA